GCCGGGCAUGGUGGUGCAUGCCUGUAAUCCCGGUGGCUAGGGAGGCUGAGACAGGAGGAUCACAUGUUCAAAGCCAGCUCAGAAAAAGUGAGAUGCUAAACAACUCAGUGAGACCCUGUCUCUA
Molecule: small RNA, 124 nt
Filed under: Marmota monax (woodchuck)
Lineage: Eukaryota; Metazoa; Chordata; Mammalia; Rodentia; Sciuridae
Source: RNAcentral